UGGGGAAUUUUGGACAAUGGGCGAAAGCCUGAUCCAGCAAUGCCGCGUGUGUGAAGAAGGCCUUCGGGUUGUAAAGCACUUUUGUCCGGAAAGAAAUCCUUGGCUCUAAUACAGUCGGGGGAUGACGGUACCGGAAGAAUAAGCACCGGCUAACUACGUGCCAGCAGCCGCGGUAAUACGUAGGGUGCAAGCGUUAAUCGGAAUUACUGGGCGUAAAGCGUGCGCAGGCGGUUUGCUAAGACCGAUGUGAAAUCCCCGGGCUCAACCUGGGAACUGCAUUGGUGACUGGCAGGCUAGAGUAUGGCAGAGGGGGGUAGAAUUCCACGUGUAGCAGUGAAAUGCGUAGAGAUGUGGAGGAAUACCGAUGGCGAAGGCAGCCUCCUGGGCCAAUACUGACGCUCAUGCACGAAAGCGUGGGGAGCAAAACAGGAUUAGAUACCCUGGUAGUCCACGCCCUAAAACGAUGUCAACUAGUUGUUGGGGAUUCAUUUCCUUAGUAACGUAGCUAACGCGUGAAGUUGACCGCCUGGGGAGUACGGUCGCAAGAUUAAAACUCAAAUGAAUUGACGGGGUCAUA
RNAcentral lists this ribosomal RNA (577 nucleotides) under uncultured bacterium. RNAcentral's name for it is "partial 16S ribosomal RNA". It matches the Rfam family "Bacterial small subunit ribosomal RNA", at positions 355 to 923 of the family's 1533-position model. The record is from RNAcentral.